AACUAUUAUCGAUGUUUUUCAUAUCGAUAGUACCGACGGUAUUCUCAUCACUGGAUUUGUCAACAACAACAUAGCCGACAUAUGUACAUACAUAGGAAUAUCUUAGCACUGGUACAAAGGGAAAUACAUGUCCAUCGUCUUAAAAGCAAUUGACAUUGUGAAGGGUAAACAUGGCUUCGGAUUCAUUGUAACCAGUUUGCCCGUUAAUCGCUCAAUGGGAUACUUUUUUUUUACACGAAUUCAUUUUUGAACGUUAGUUUUGAGUCAAAAAAACGAUCAACAGUCAUUUACGAGCUUUGGUUUUGCCAUAAUGCGGGGAGUCCCACAUAUUGGAAAUAUUUAGACACGCUACAAUGCGCAAAGAAAUAAAGGAAAAGUGUUCAAAGAGACAGGUUAUUUCUCUGGAAAAAACAUGGGUCAGCUCAGCCGUUUUCAAUGAGUUGUUUAAAGAUAAUUUUCUGCCAGAUGUUAAGCGCUACUUAAAAAAAAAGGGGCUACCACCUAAAGCGCUUCUAUUGAUUGAUAAUGCGCCUGAACAUCCUCAGCGCUUGCUGGAAAAAUAUAUGGCUAAAUAUUGUCCAGCAAUAGCAUUUAAAACUGCCAUUGGCGUUAGAAGGCUCGGGAAUAAUAGAGAUGGCGAAUUCAAUUGGAGGAGAAGGGUUCGACGAUCUUAUUGAUACGGACCUUCGAGAAGUUAUGGAGGAUACUGCACUUGAUGAUGUGCACUUUAUUGAAAUGCUCGAUGAUACCUCUCCGGAGGAAGGAAGAAGUUGAACCUGUUCAAUUCACUGCAAAGGCAAUUCGUGAAGGUUUAGAUUUGGGCCGCAAAUUUUGAGACCAUUUUUUUAAAACAGAUACAAAUGUGGAGCCGCUAUGGCAUUUAAACGCGAUAUUAGCAGAUGUCUUGCUAGAUUUGAGGAGGUCUAUAAAGACUCAAACAAUAGACAAAGCCAAACACUAAUAACUGAUUUCUUUAUUAAAAAUUAAGUAAAUACCUUAAGCUCUUUUUAUCACAUCAGCUAAUCAAACAGGGAAAUGUUUAUAAAACU
Long non-coding RNA from Drosophila willistoni, 1049 nucleotides. RefSeq lists it as uncharacterized. The transcript has 3 exons. The record is from RefSeq and is a predicted model, not a curated record. NCBI's taxonomy places the organism in Eukaryota, Metazoa, Arthropoda, Insecta, Diptera, Drosophilidae.